This 494-nucleotide ribosomal RNA is filed under the name uncultured bacterium. RNAcentral's name for it is "bacterial SSU rRNA". It matches the Rfam family "Bacterial small subunit ribosomal RNA", at positions 29 to 518 of the family's 1533-position model. The record is from RNAcentral.
AUGAACGCUAGCGGCAGGCUUAACACAUGCAAGUCGAGGGCAGCGCGGAUAGCAAUAUCGUGGCGGCGACCGGCGAAAGGGUGCGUAACGCGUGAGCAACUUGCCCGUAUCGUGGGGGAUAAGCGGUGGAAACGCCGUCUAAUACCCCCAUAACAACAGAGGCCGCAUGACCUUGUUUGAAAGCUUCGGUGGAUACGGAUAGGCUCGCGAGACAUUAGCUUGUUGGUGAGGUAACGGCUCACCAAGGCUACGAUGUCUAGGGGUUCUGAGAGGAAGGUCCCCCACAUUGGAACUGAGACACGGACCAGACUCCUACGGGAGGCAGCAGUGAGGAAUAUUGGUCAAUGGACGAGAGUCUGAACCAGCCAAGUCGCGUGCAGGAAGAAUGUCCUAUGGAUUGUAAACUGCUUUUGCAGGGGAAUAAAGUGCAUCACGUGUGAUGUUUUGUAUGUACUCUGCGAAUAAGGAUCGGCUAACUCCGUGCCAGCAGCAGC